Molecule: long non-coding RNA, 228 nt
Filed under: Vigna radiata
Lineage: Eukaryota; Viridiplantae; Streptophyta; Magnoliopsida; Fabales; Fabaceae
Description: long non-coding RNA (VRAD_LNC018500)
Source: RNAcentral
GGAUGUAGGCAUUGUUGGCCGAACCAGUAUAAAAACCAGUGUUUGAUUUUCUUUAUCCCUACACUCUUUAAAUUCAAUCGACUAUAUAUGUUUAGCAGUCAACUGCAUUUUUUUGCUGUAUUAAAAUUUUCAUUACUUGCAUUUCAAGAAAUGAUUAAAAAGCUUUAUACUUUUGUUUCAAGAUUGCGAAAAGAUUUUGUUUUUGAAAUAACACCAAUUCACCCCCCU